CUGUGCUCUUCUCCGCCGAUGCUGCCAGACCUGCUGAGUUUUUCCAGGAAUCCAAUGUUAGACCUCCAUUCAUGAUGUCAAGCUGUGCGAGCAUCACAGAUGACAUGGCGUCUGCCCCAGCAGCCAUUGUGAACAGAAUUAAGAACUGAGGAGAGAUCAGAAGCCUCACAACUAACUGAAGAAGUUGGAAUGAGUGGGCUGCAUGAUGGGGAAAGUUACAGAAACUACAGCCUCAGAGAGGCAAUGCCUCUUCAAGUUCUGUGUUACAGAGACAAAAACAAAAAUACCUGGAAAAACUCAGCAGGUCUGACAGCAUCUGCGGAGAGGAAUACAGUU
Carcharodon carcharias (great white shark) is the source of this 336-nucleotide long non-coding RNA. RefSeq lists it as uncharacterized. Lineage: Eukaryota; Metazoa; Chordata; Chondrichthyes; Lamniformes; Lamnidae. The record is from RefSeq and is a predicted model, not a curated record. The transcript is spliced from 3 exons.